This is a long non-coding RNA of Pecten maximus, 1177 nucleotides long. RefSeq lists it as uncharacterized. The record is from RefSeq and is a predicted model, not a curated record. The transcript has 3 exons. NCBI's taxonomy places the organism in Eukaryota, Metazoa, Mollusca, Bivalvia, Pectinida, Pectinidae.
CACGUGAUAACGGGCGUGUCUUUUACCUUUUGUUAUGUAUAUCAUGAUUGGUACAUUUUAUUAAGUCAUGUCUGCUCAGGUGUGCAAUUAGGCCCAUCCAUCCGUGAAAAGCCAUUGAUCCAUUUGUAGGGUGCGUACUAGAAUUAACCGAUAUAUUUCUGGUUAAGUUUUUGCAAAACGUUAGUAUUACGUAUAAAUGAGAAGCAUUUUAUCAUUGUUAUAAACUGAGACACACCCUCCCAGGUAUUAGUUUACACCCUCCCAGGUAUUAGUUUACACCCUCCCAGGUAUAAGUUUACACCCUCCCAGGUAUUAGUUUACACCCUCCCAGGUAUUAGUUUACACCCUCCCAGGUAUUAGUUUACACCCUCCCAGGUAUAAGUUUACACCCUCCCAGGUAUUAGUUUACACCCUCCCAGGUAUUAGUUUACACCCUCCCAGGUAUUAGUUUACACCCUCCCAGGUAUUAGUUUACACCCUCCCAGGUAUAAGUUUACACCCUCCCAGGUAUUAGUUUACACCCUCCCAGGUAUUAGUUUACACCCUCCCAGGUAUUAGUUUACACCCUCCCAGGUAUAAGUUUACACCCUCCCAGGUAUAAGUUUACACCCUCCCAGGUAUUAGUUUACACCCUCCCAGGUAUAAGUUUACACCCUCCCAGGUAUUAGUUUACACCCUCCCAGGUAUAAGUUUACACCCUCCCAGGUAUUAGUUUACACCCUCCCAAGUAUUAACUAAGACACACCCUCCCAGGUAUUAGUUUACACCCUCCCAGGUAUAAGUUUACACCCUCCCAGGUAUUAGUUUACACCCUCCCAGGUAUUAGUUUACACCCUCCCAGGUAUAAGUUUACACCCUCCCAGGUAUUAGUUUACACCCUCCCAGGUAUUAGUUUACACCCUCCCAGGUAUAAGUUUACACCCUCCCAGGUAUUAGUUUACACCCUCCCAGGUAUUAGUUUACACCCUCCCAGGUAUUAACUAAGACACACCCUCCCAGGUAUUAGUUUACACCCUCCCAAGUAUUAACUAAGACACACCCUCCCAGGUAUUAGUUUACACCCUCCCAAGUAUUAACUAAGACACACCCUCCCAGGUAUAAGUUUACACCCUCCCAAGUAUUAACUAAGACACACCCUCCCAGGUAUUAGUUUACACCCUCCCAGGUAUUAACUAAG